AAUGAACGCUGGCGGCAUGCCUUACACAUGCCAGUCGAACGGCAGCAUGACCUAUCUUGCUCGGUUGAUGGCGAGUGGCGCACGGGUGAGUAAUGCAUCGGAACGUGCCUUUUAGUGGGGGAUAACGUAGCGAAAGUUACGCUAAUACCGCAUAUUCUCUGAGGAGGAAAGCAGGGGACCUUCGGGCCUUGCGCUUGAAUAGCGGCCGAUGUCGGAUUAGCUAGUUGGUGAGGUAAAGGCUCACCAAGGCAACGAUCCGUAGCGGGUCUGAGAGGAUGAUCCGCCAAACUGGGACUGAGACACGGACCAGACUCCUACGGGAGGCAGCAGUGGGGAAUAUUGGACAAUGGGCGCAAGCCUGAUCCAGCCAUGCCGCGUGAGUGAAGAAGGCCUUCGGGUUGUAAAGCUCUUUCGGCUGGGAAGAAAUCGCACCCUCUAAUACAGGGUGUGGAUGACGGUACCAGCAGAAGAAGCACCGGCUAACUACGUG
RNAcentral lists this ribosomal RNA (490 nucleotides) under uncultured bacterium. Its description in RNAcentral is "partial 16S ribosomal RNA". It matches the Rfam family "Bacterial small subunit ribosomal RNA", at positions 29 to 507 of the family's 1533-position model. The record is from RNAcentral.